UACAGAGGUCCCAAGCGUUGUUCGGAUUCACUGGGCGUAAAGGGUGCGUAGGCGGUCGGGUAAGUCUGGCGUGAAAUCUCCAAGCCUAACUUGGAAACUGCGUUGGAUACUAUCCGGCUCGAGGAAUGGAGGGGAGACUGGAAUACUUGGUGUAGCAGUGAAAUGCGUAGAUAUGUGGAGGAACACCGAUGGCGAAGGCAGCCCCCUGGGUCAAAACUGACGCUCAUGCACGAAAGCGUGGGGAGCAAACAGG
This 253-nucleotide ribosomal RNA is filed under the name uncultured bacterium. RNAcentral's name for it is "partial 16S ribosomal RNA". It matches the Rfam family "Bacterial small subunit ribosomal RNA", at positions 524 to 776 of the family's 1533-position model. The record is from RNAcentral.